Molecule: long non-coding RNA, 15277 nt
Filed under: Triticum aestivum (bread wheat)
Lineage: Eukaryota; Viridiplantae; Streptophyta; Magnoliopsida; Poales; Poaceae
Description: long non-coding RNA (TAES_LNC015754)
Source: RNAcentral
UUUUUUUUCGUCCCGAUCAUCCGGAGGCCAUCAUUCCAAUUAUCGUUCUCUAUUACCCCGGUGCAUCGUUCAAAUAUCCUCUAAUCAGUUCAUGAUCUCUUCGUUAUCAUGUAUCUAAAUCCCCUCAAGCAUAUUUGCCUUCUAAUUCUUCCCGGUGAUUAAGUCUCUUUCAUCAGUCAUUUUCGAAUUCUUACGGUGGUUCGUUCAAGAUUCUUUUUCCUUGAUUAUCAUUCAAUCCAUUCGCCCUUUCCAAUCCUACCGGCGGUUCAUGAAGACCUUCUCAAGUUUGUGAUAUGUCACUUCUCAAUUCUUUUUCAACAAGAAUAAGUAAUAUGAAAAAUCCAUUGUUUGUCAUCAAUUUAACUUGACGAAGGAUAAGCAUAUAAUAAAUCUUAUUCUUAUUGCAUUCAAGUGAGUAAUCCCUUCCUUCGGAAUUUGUUCGUGAGGAAUAAAUUCUAGUUCCAAGUGUUUUAAUAUUUUCUUUUCCGGAGUUCAAAUUUCAUCAGCCAUUUUGUCGGAACCCCCACCUAAAUCAUCGCAAGGCUCAUCUUAUUCUUUCUUCCUUCAUUCUAUCUCAUCAUCUUUUUGUCACCGGAGUUCUUCAUGGUGGUUCUUCAUGAUUUAAUUCAUUCUUCAAGAGUUCAUCAAGAUUCUUAUCGAAGGAGCUCAAGUAUCUUUCCUUCUUGAUUUUCGAAGUGCAAUUAAUUCUCCGUAUUCUUCUCCGUUCUUUUCAUUCAACUCUUUCAAUUCUUUUCGGAGUUUUGUGUCAUGUCUUCAUCAAGUAUCAUUCCAUCCUCUCUAGCUCGUGUUCUAUUCCUCCAUGUUUCAGCCGGAGUGCUGCCUAAAUCCUUUCAGUCUUGUUAGUGGAGGAGUGUUGUAACGCCCGGAUUCGAUGCGCUAGGUGUCUGUCAGUUAUUUGCCGUCGUUGCCAUGUCAUUUUCUUGCGUGUUGCAUAUUUCCAUGUUGUCAUGUGCAUUGCAUUGCAUUGCAUACGUGUUCGUUUCAUGCAUCCGAGUAUUUUCCCCGUUGUCCGUUUUGCAAUCCGGCACUCCUAUGUCCUCCGGCGUUCCCCUUUUAUCUCUCGUCGUGAGCGGGUGUUAAACAUUCUCGGAAUGGACCGAGUCUUGCCAAGUGGCCUUGGUACACCACCGCCGCCUGUCAAGUUUUGUGCCAUUUGGGGUCCGUUUGAUACUCCUACGGUUAACCGGGUAACCGUAAAAGCCCUCUUUGUGUUGCAGCCCAACACCCCUCCAAAGUGGCCCAGAACCCAUCCUAACCCCCUCCAUACUCUCGGUUGUUCGAUCACGAUCGCGUGGCCGAAAAGCGCACCUCAUUUGAAGCCUCCUAGCUCCCUCUACCUACAAAUAUGUGCACCCCCCCCUCCCGGAUUUUCCCGGAUGAACCCUAGCCCUCUCCCUCCUCGCGACUCCGGACAUGUCCGCCAGCAGCCGGACAUGUCCACCGCCGCGCCCCAGCCACUCCGGAGCCGCCACGUGGCGCCCCCGCGCCCACAUCGCCGCCGGCCCGCGGAGCCCAUCUGGGGCCCGUGCGGGCCCAGAUCCCACCGCCGCCGCCCGGCCCGUCCCACGUNNNNNNNNNNNNNNNNNNNNNNNNNNNNNNNNNNNNNNNNNNNNNNNNNNNNNNNNNNNNNNNNNNNNNNNNNNNNNNNNNNNNNNNNNNNNNNNNNNNNNNNNNNNNNNNNNNNNNNNNNNNNNNNNNNNNNNNNNNNNNNNNNNNNNNNNNNNNNNNNNNNNNNNNNNNNNNNNNNNNNNNNNNNNNNNNNNNNNNNNNNNNNNNNNNNNNNNNNNNNNNNNNNNNNNNNNNNNNNNNNNNNNNNNNNNNNNNNNNNNNNNNNNNNNNNNNNNNNNNNNNNNNNNNNNNNNNNNNNNNNNNNNNNNNNNNNNNNNNNNNNNNNNNNNNNNNNNNNNNNNNNNNNNNNNNNNNNNNNNNNUAGGGCGCCGUGCGCCUCCGUCGCCUGCCAGCCGGCCCCGCCCCGGCGCCCCUCCGCCGCCUCCGCCGCUCGCCGAACGCCGCCGCCCUCGCCGGAUUCCUCGCCGGCCGGAUCUGGUCAGGUGGACCAGAUCCACCAGUUCGGCCAACCAAACGCCGUCCCGCGACCCGGAUCCCUCCGUCCCGCUCCGUCUCGUCCCGCUUGACUUUUCGCGAGGGUAAGUCUGCCAAGUCCCUGAGAUUUUUAACAUUAUGUGGCUCUAUUCAUCGCAUCAUAUCUCCUUUGAUACUGCUCUGUUUCAUGCGUGUAAUAUAUCAAAAUGUUCGUCAUGAGAUUAUAUACAUUUCAUUCUAUUGUGUCAUGCUUGUUUGAGAUUAUCUUGAUGCCCGAAUCAUCGUUGCAAGAGUGCUAUAUGAAGUUAAUCUGCUGAAACUGUUAUAACUUGAUGAUUUGUCAUUUUUGUUGCAUUUGAUGUGUGCAUCCUAUGAGCAUGAGCUCUACAAAUGUUUUGAACUACAUCAUGUCAUCUUUACAGGGGUGCCAUCCAUGUAUUUUUGUGAGUUGUGUAGUGAGUGAAUCAAGCUUGUUAAGUAGGGUACUUGCUGUUACUGCUUUGCUAGGCUGAAUCUGUUAUUUUGUGAUGCUAUGUAAACCCGCUUGUACAAGUCAUUCUAUGCAUAAUCUGGAGAUGUUCACUAAGGAUGUUUUGUUAUACAUGUCAUGAUAUAUCCAUUCAUACCCCUGGUUGCAUUUAUAGCCUAUUGUAGCUUGUUGUAAUCUUGCUCCAAAUUUGCUAAAUAAUGUUGUUGUCAGCCUGUUAACUUUAAGAUCAGUUUUACCAUGUGAUUUGCUAGUGCUCCAUGCACCCUAUGGACUUGAUCUUGCCAUGCUUAGCUCAUAAAUGUGUCUUCUUACUGUUGGUUGCCUGGUCAUUCCAUGUAUUGCUCUGUGGUGAGUGGUAGAAACUCACCAACAUGCCUACUUAUUGUUGUUCCUGCCAUGUUUGAAUCUGUCAAAUAACUUGCCAUGUUUACAUGGGUGCCAUCAUAUCUUCUGAUUUUUUUUGGCUCAUGGUCAGUAAAGGACUUUUUUUUGACGCAUUUAGUAGUAUCAUGCCAUGCCUUUGUUUGCCAUGAUAAGUUUCUGUACCAUGUUUUUUGAUAGCUCUAAAUUUUGCAUCCUGAUGUUAUUUAUGUAAGCCUGUAAACUGUUAUUAUAUGCAAUCUUGCCAUGUCUUUUUGAGCAUGUUCUAGUGAUUUAUGGAGAUAGCUCAGUGUUCAUGUUUUGUUAUGCUUUACCUGUACAUCAUGUCCAUGCCUUCUGUUCUUAUGUUGAGGUGCUGUAGCAUACAGUUUUGAUGCUUGCUAGAUGCCUAGUUGUUGUUUUGGACAGCUUAUCCUUUAAACUUGUAUAGAGUGUAUGUGUUGAACCGUUGCUCCGUUUUGAGUGUGCUCUGUAUGAUACUUGAUUGAUUUUGCAUGUAGCUUCAUAUUAUCAUGUUGCAUCCUUGUUUUGAGGUGUUUGCUUGAUGUUUGGAUGCAUUUUGCAUUAAUGCCAUGUUUAACUUGUUUUGCUCAUAUCUUCUAGGCCGUAACUCCGAACUAAAUGAACUUUAUAUGUAACUUGACUAGAAUCUCGUGUAGAUCAUCUUGGUGCAACUUAACUUGCUGUUUAACAACUUGAACAUAAUGUUUAUUCAGAUCUGGACCAAUUUCGAAAUUUGCAUAUGAGGACUUACCGGAAUUGUUAUAUGUUGUUCCCGACCUCAUUUAAACUUGCCUUGAUGUGUUGUUCUUGUUUGCAUCAUCUCUUGCCAUGAGUAGCUUCAUGUAGUCUUGUCUUGCAUUAUGCUUGGUUGUGCAUCAUGUCAUGUAUAUGUGUGGUGUGUUUACCAUGUUGUGUGCUUCUUCUCGAUAGUUCCCGUUUUCGUUGCGAUCGUGAGGAUUCGUUCGUCUACGCUUGGUUCGUGGCUUCAUCUUCUUCAUGGACUCGUUCUUCUUCCUAGCGGGAUUUCAGGCAAGAUGGCCGCUACCCUGGAUCUCACUACUAUCAUUGCUAUGCUAGUUGCUUCGUUCUAUCGCUUUGCUGCGUUACCUAUCAAUUGCUCUUCAAGCCUCCCAAAUUACCAUGUCAGCCUCUAACCUUUUUCACCCUUCCUAGCAAACCAUUGCUUGGCUAUGUUACCGCUUUGCUCAGCCCCUCUUAUAGCGUUGCUAGUUGCAGGUGAAGUUGAAGAUUGCCCCAUGAUGGACAGGAUUAUGUUGGGAUAUAACAAUAUCUCUUAUAUUAUUAAUGCAUCUAUAUACUUUGUAAAGGGUGGAAGACUCGGCCUUAUGCCUGGUGUUUUGUUCCAUUUUUGCCGCCCCUAGUUUCCGUCAUACCGGUGUUAUGUUCCCGGAUUUUGCGUUCCUUACGCGGUUGGGUGAUUUAUGGGACCCCCUUGACAGUUCGCUUUGAAUAAAACUCCUCCAGCAAGGCCCAACCACUACUAGGGAAAAGCUUAUACACAGAAGUUUAUCAGCAGCGCGGUCUAAAAAUGGGCGCUACUGCUAAUUAGUAGCAGCGUAGGGUAUAAAACCCGCGCUACUACUAAGUUGAUAGUAGCAGCGAGGGGUAUAAACCCGCGCUACUACUAAAUGAUCUUCAUCAUACCCCUGAAACAGGUCAUAGUAGUAGCGAGGGGUAUAAAACCCGCGCUACUACUAAGUAGGUAGCUAUAGCGCGGGUAAGAACCCCACGCUAUUACUAACCGUGCCCACUAGUGCACCAUCUACCCCGGCCCGAUCCACUCCCACCCCACCACUAAAAAAACUCUCUCACAUCUCACGAACUCCGCACGAUCUCCUCGGUCCACCCCACCCCGGCUCCUCUCCCCACGAUAUCCUCGCCGCCGCCCCCACCCACGCCGGCCGAUUCCGGCGAGCACCGGCCGCGCGCAACACCCCAUCUCCUCCUCCUCCCCCUCCCUUCCCCUUCCUCCUUCGCCUGCCCCUUCUCUCUCCUCCUUCCUCCCGGCGGCCGGCCAUGGGCGCGGACGAGGAGGAGCACCAGUCCCCCACACGGAAGCGCGAGCGCGAGGAGGGGGAGGAGCCCGCGGCCGCCGUCCCAAAUCUGCAUCAGUUCGUCGAACAACAGCGACCGUGUUGUUCCGUCACCGGCGAGAUGUCUACCAAUGGCGUCGAGAUUAACGGGUACGUUUUGUUCCCCUCUCCGGCAAAUAGCCAUUGGUAGAAACUGGCACAUAUUUUAGGGAUUUCUGACUGAUUUGCCGGCUCCGUCGAUUCACAGGAUGUGUGCUGCGCCCGGGGCGAGGAGCAGUUCCUUCUUCCCAGCGGAGUCACAGGAUUCAUGAGCGUCCCAAACGGCGCGGUCUGUGCCGCCGGCUAUCCGCGGCCGCCUGUGGAAUGCAGUGGUGGGCGAGGUGUGCUCUGAAGCCACCAGCGGCUGGACGGGAAGGUCAGUGAAAAUCAAUCACCUCUAUUUUCUUUUUGUCUAUUGUUCUGCAAUCUCAUAUCUGGACCAUAUUUACGUUCUUAGUCGUAGAAACGUGUUUAUUGGCGCCUGCGUGGUAUAUGUUGUUGUUGGGGUUCAUGAAUGAGUCAUAGUAGCGGUGAAGCAGUUUAUUUCCAUAUUUGUUAGGUUCCCAGGCACGUAAAAUCUUGGCAGUGAGCUAUGGGGUUCCCUGUUGCUGAAUUUGUUCAUGAAGCAUUAGUAUUUGAUUCAGGUUUGCGGAAAUUUUGAUUUCCAGGUAAUUUGUUUUGUGGUAGUAGGUGACGCUAGGUUCAUGAACAUACAUAUGGAUGUUGAGUGCUAGAUUUCAGUUGGAGAGAAAGCUAAGAUGAAAUUGACUUCCAGGCUGUUAAUAAUCAUGAACUUGUGCGGUUGUGCCAUCAGAGGCGGCUUUGUUGGUUUUCCGAGCUUUUGCAGUCAUUCUGUAGGAUGCUCAAGGUAAGCAUAAUAAGCUGGUAGUGUAUUUAUUCCUUGCACAAUUUUAUUUUUCUUAAUUAUCUCCUGCACUAGCAUUACCAGGCUUAGUGCAUGCCAGGCUGAUCCUCCUGACUCUCCAAAAUGUGCUAGUGGUAAUAUUGUUUCCACCAUGAUGUGUACUAAUGUGAAGCAACUUGAUAGAAAUGCAGGCGGUUCAAAAUUCUAGCGGAUUGAAUUAGCUAGGUAACCGAUCAUCUGUUUCUGGAUUCUUGCUUUCACCGUUUCAAAUCCGUUAGUUGUAAGAAAAAUUAUGUGUUUUCGUUUGUUGUGAACUUGUGAUCAUAUCAUAUAUAUGCAUCUGCUCCGUGUAAGUUGUAAGAAUAAAUUUCUUGGAACAAUCUUUGCAUAUCUAUAGUAUGCGCACUUGCAUUUUCUGGGAGAUGAAUUUUAGCAUAUAUAUAUAUAUAUAAUUCUACAUGUUGCUCCCUCUUCUGUGCACGCAACCGUCGCCACCCUCAUGAUCAUUUGUCAUUCAUCAUACCCCCAACCAUCCCGUGAACCGCAGCAGAUCAAGUUGAAGAUCCGCAGCCCCUUGAUUGUUUGAAGUAUCCUCAAAUAAAAAAUGAACAUUUCCAAUAAAUAUAUUCAACUUUUACAAGGUUCUGGUUGCUUUGACAGUACAAUAUGUUCUACUGUACAUUAUAUUUCCAUAUCUAUAUAAUUUAGUUUGAGAAAGUAACUUAAGGAGGUGUAUCCCUUUUUAUAAUUCCUCUACACUACUCAAUCGCUAUCUGCCUCUAAUUAUUAUAGUGACAUCACUUAUGGGUGCGGCGCUAAAUUCUUGAGAACCUUCUCUAAUCAUCAUAUUUUUCGGUAUCUUAAUUCUUGUAUGUGAUGCCAUGAAUAUAUACUGUUAUAUAUUUUGCUACAUUAGUGUUGUUGCUGCUUCUGUUCAAAUUAUAGUACAUUGAUCAAAUUAACCUUUUCAGGCAAGAAGAACGCGGAGAAAAACAAGACAUUGGAAGAUGUUCUUGUUCGCUCACACAUCUCAUAGGAAGGACGAAGGUACCAAUUCCAGCUGAUGGUCCCUCUCCACUUUGUGUUAACUCAUGCAUGCUUCUUUAUUGAUCAAUUGUUGUAUGAUCCAUUCACAGUUUUAGGAUGGUGCAUUCUUGAUACAAUUUCGCUUACUCAAUCCAUGUAGUCUAUGGACUGAAAAAACAAUUACUGCAGUUAUUUUCAACCGGUUCUAUGUAGUUUCCAACAUAUUGCUUAUAGUGUCUAGUUUGGUGCUUAAUUCAGCUAGAAAUGCUUUCUGGGAAGACUAGUAACACAUAUUCACUCCACAGAAAGUUAACGAGUCUUUGAAGCCGAAGUUCAACCUCUUUGUCAAGCAGGUGUCCGCCAGCAUUGGGAUGGCAGAGCCACACAUUGAUGUAUGGAUAUUUUCUGGUUGCUUGCCCCAUUCUCAAAUUAAUAAAAAUUAUUUGGUCUUCAUAUAUUUUGCUUUUGCAAUAUCCUGUUCUAACAUCUGAAAAUGGAAUACUUUAACAAUAUAAUCCUCCUAACUUUCUGCAACUGAUUUUUGUUGUAGUCCAAAAUUAUAUGUUUGUAUUUAUUGCCUUUUUUUAGUGUGUUGAUAUUUGAAAGGGGAACAAGGCAACAUGUUGCACACUUGCUUUUGUUAGAGCACUAUAUUUUAUUGUUAACCAUGCUAUGGUCCAAACUCCUUUUUAUUCUGCUUAUAUGAUAUUGCUCAUCUUUUGUUUUCUGUUCGAUGCCUCCUGUAUUUAGAGUAGAAAUAAUCUUAAUUUAGUGUUUCUUGAACAUGGCCAGGGCAAUGGAUAAAAUCUACUCUGGAUAGUUGAUAGAGGGAGUAGAUGCUAAGUUGACUUUUUUCCUGCGGAUUUGCUUAUCGUGAAGAUGCUUGCAAGGAUGCAGAGGGAGCGGAUCAUUUGGAGAUAUAGGAUGCCACUAUUUGGUGUUUUUAUGCAUUUUGAUUUGCUUGUAACUGUGUUUGCACUAGCUGGGAGUAAGUGACUUUAAGGAGUGUAGGUGUUUUAAUUGAAGGCAUGAAAAGCCAUGACAAUAUGUAUGCUCUUACAGGAUGUGCUCUAAUGCUGCUGGCUUAUUAUAAAUCUUGGAUUAGUAAUGAUGUGUAAUGAUGUUGGUUUAUUGCAAAUAUGUGUUUGUUUUAGUUGGAAUUGUAUGCAUAGAAUGGAAUUGGUGGAUUUUAUUUUUUUAAUUCCUAAUUAGUUAGUAGUAGCGUGGGAAAACACCAGACGCGCUACUACUACUUUGUUAGUAGUAGCGUGGGUUUGCAUCCAGGCUACUACUACUUUUUAGUAGUAGCGUGGGAAAAAACCUAAGGCGCUACUACUGUUUCAUUACUGGUAGCGCGGGUUGCACCCGCGCUACUACUAAAAUGUUAGUAGUAGCGUGGGUUUCACCCGCGCUACUACUAACUAUUAGCUGUAGCGCGAUACUAGUAGCGCGUGUACCCGCGCUGCUAGUAACCAUUUUACCCGCGCUGCUAGUAGCCUUUUUCCUAGUAGUGAACCUUGGUUUUACCAUUUGCCUCACCUAGCCCUUUUUCCCUUGGGUUUCCGGAGCCCGAGGGUCAUCUUUAUUUUAGCCCCCUCCCCCCCCCCNNNNNNNNNNNNNNNNNNNNNNNNNNNNNNNNNNNNNNNNNNNNNNNNNNNNNNNNNNNNNNNNNNNNNNNNNNNNNNNNNNNNNNNNNNNNNNNNNNNNNNNNNNNNNNNNNNNNNNNNNNNNNNNNNNNNNNNNNNNNNNNNNNNNNNNNNNNNNNNNNNNNNNNNNNNNNNNNNNNNNNNNNNNNNNNNNNNNNNNNNNNNNNNNNNNNNNNNNNNNNNNNNNNNNNNNNNNNNNNNNNNNNNNNNNNNNNNNNNNNNNNNNNNNNNNNNNNNNNNNNNNNNNNNNNNNNNNNNNNNNNNNNNNNNNNNNNNNNNNNNNNNNNNNNNNCCAGUGCUCCUUCGAGUGUUGGUCCGAACCGAGCUUCCUGCGGGGCCACCUCGGGGAAACUCGAAGUGUGGUUUUACUUGUAGCUUGACUUAUCCGGUGUGCCCUGAGAAUGAGGUACGUGCGACUCCUAUCGGGAUUUGUCGGCACAUCGGGCGGCUUUGCUGGUCUUAUUUUACCAUUGUCGAAAUGUCUUGUAAACUGGGAUUCCGAGUCUGAUCGGGUCUUCCUGGGAGAAGGUAUAUCCUUCGUUGAUCGCGAGAGCUUAUCAUGGGCUAAGUUGGGACAUUCCUGCAGGGUAUAAACUUUUGAAAGCCGUGCCCGCGGUUAUGGGCAGAUGGGAAUUUGUUAAUGUCCGGUUGUAGAUAACUUGACACCAGAUCCGAAUUAAAACGCAUCAACCAUGUGUGUCGCCAUGAUGGUCUCUUUUCGGCGGAGUCCGGGAAGUGAACACGGUUUUGGGUUAUGUUUGACGUAAGUAGGAGUUCAGGAUCACUUUUUGAUCAUUGCUAGCUUCACGUCCGUUCCGUUGCUUCUCUUCUCGCUCUUAUUUGCGUAUGUUAGCCAUCAUAUCAUGCUUAGACGCUGCUGCAACCUCAUCACUUUACCCCUUCCUUUCCCAUUAAGCUUUGCUAGUCUUGAUACCCAUGGUAAUGGGAUUGCUGAGUCCUCGUGGCUCACAGAUUACUACAACACCAGUUGCAGGUACAGGUUAUGCGAUGAUCAUGACGCGAGAGCGAUGUUUGCUUGUUUUGGAGUUCUUCUUCUACUUCUUCUUCGAUCAGGGGAUAGCUUCCAGGUCGGCAGCCUGGGCUAGCAGCGUGGAUGUCAGUUGAGUUUCUGUUUGUGUUUCAUCCGUAGUCGGAUGAUGCUCUUAUGUAUGAUGAUGUUGUACUCGUGUGGCAUUGUAUGCCUCUUGUAUGUAUCCCCAUCUAUUAUGUAAUGUUGAUGUAAUGAUAUCCACCUUACAAAAGCGUUUCAAUAUGUGGUUCUAUCCUUGGUGGGACCUUUGAGUCUCUUUAGGAUAGUGUCGUAUAUUGGGCGUGACAUCAUGGGUGGCUGUUUCCUGCAAAACUAAUACUAAAUCAGUACAGUCAGUCACCCUGAAAUGGAAACCUACUACCUAUAUAUAAUAUGUAUUUUUUAAUGCAGUAUACAAUAUGUAGUUGCUUUUGCAUUGUUUAUGAUAGGGCUAGCAAGAGGACACCGUGGGUGAAGACGGAACAUGUGUUGGAUUCAUAGUUGAUGGAUGUCAGAUAUGGUUUUCUCCUUCGACGUCUUAGUCGUGGUGGGGUGCCUGAUCUGGAGUUCGACGGCGUGUCCGGGGUGUUGCCCCGGUCUGAUUUGUUCCGGUAAUUGCUUUACUUUUGGUGAGCCACCUUCGAGGUCCGCAAAGCUGAUUAUCAGCGAUGGAGCCGCGUUGAGCUCGGGUGAUAAGGUAAUCCAUCAUUUUCCUUUGAUGGUUGUUGUGGUGGUGCCGGAUGCAGGUGACAAUAGUUGAUUUUAAGUUCAACGAUGUUUUGCUAUCUUUUCAGUUUUGUCAUGCCGGUCUUUACGUGACUUGUAUUUUAUUUUUCAUGAUAUGAAUGAGACACGUAUUACCAUGCGAAAAGAAAUAAAAAUAUAGCAGGAGGACACCGUGGGCAAGUAGAGGGAUCGGCUUGGAGAAACCAAUCAAGGUUACGGAGGAGGAUUAAGAUGUGGACUUUCUGCCUACAGCAAUGAGCAGACCGGAUCUCAAAGCAAAUGAACCGUCUAGAUAAAGUGUGCAUCUGUGCCCAAGCUCAGAUUAGCACUUUUGAUGUAUAUUUGAUUUCAUUAGUAGCUUCUGCUACUUCCCGAAUCAUAGAAGAAAUCCGAACAUGUUGGGCAUGAAAAAUUAUGUGAAUAUCAUCACAAAAUAUUCUAGUACAUGAGAAAAUUAAUCAGUCCACUCCAAAUCGUAACUAAACAUGCAUUUCAAAUUGCAUGGUCCCAUAUAGGACAUAACAAAAGCGACACAUAUACAUAUCAAGUGUUGCAUAGCAUGAGAGGUUGGAGGAGGCCAAACACAUAAAUUUAGACCACUUUGAGCUAACUAGUAAAAAUGCACGUGCAACGCACGAGUACCGUGCGAAUAAAAUCAUCAUACGUUUUAGAAAAUAAUAUGUUAAUAAAAUAAAAAUAUAUACUUAUAAUGAACAUUGUUGUAAUAAUACAAAAGAAAUGUAGCUCAAAGUAAAAAAUCAGCGAAUAUAUUUGUCAUCAAUCAUGAGUGAACCGACUAUCUUCGAGAGAUAUUUAUAAAAAGUAAUGUGAUGCUUGAAGUAAUAAACCAUUUGGAAACUGCAUUGGGGUAACACGACACUUGUCUUUUGCCUCAAGAUCUCAAGGUUACCAUGCUAAUAAAUACAACAACUUUGCCCAUCAAAUGCAAAGACAAAACAACACCUUGCAUGCAUAAACUGCAAGCAUUAACCAUGUAUUUUCAUAGAAAUCAAGCCUAUCUGAUGGAAACAAAAAAAUUCACUCACAGGAAAAUGUGAUCAUCCUUUGAAGUUAUUAACACUCACCUUCCCGUCCUUGAAAUGCACCUUCUAGGAGCAGUAGUACAUAAACUAAAUCCUUACAAGUCAAGAACUGAAUCCCCCUGUUAUUAUGUGCACAAUUUUUUCGACCUGACACCAUCCAGAAAGAUACUAAAUACAACAGUCUGGACACAACAAGAGAAACACGAGGAGAAAAAAGAGAGUGCGAGUUCGACAUCGCAAGAGAAACACAAGGAGAUAAUACAACAAUCAUGACAUAACAAGAGAAACAGGAGGAGAGAAGGGAGAGUGCGAGUUCGAGGCAUCAUCAAGAAACCCGCUGCGCACGCCCACAAUCAACUCCUUCACUAUCGGGCAAUAACCUGAAGGCACUAAUCUAGACCUAACAACAUCCAGAAAGAUAAUAUACCCCAAGAUAGUUCAUACAGCGAACAACGAAACACCAUCAGCAAAAAACAACAGCCCUGGCAAUGAUCCCUGAAUCUAGAAUGACGUAUCCUAGUGCACCAUCUUCAUCCAGAAGUUCCUUGAAAUGCUCCUUGGCAAAGCCUCAGUAUGUUGGCGGCAUUGAUCUUGAGCAGCUCCGCUCCCUACUUCAGCUCCUUCGGGCUAUCUCCCUUCUAAAGACCUACCCAAUACACCAAGAGAGAACAGAAGACGAAAACAAUUUUAAAAGGAGACUUGAUCAUCUUCCUUUUGAAGGUUGCUUUGUUAUGAAAACCAACCAAAUAGCCCAGCAUAUAACAACCAACCCAACCAUGUAGAACCUCUCACCAGAUGGUAAAUAAGCACAACACCAAGAAUGGAACUGCCAAAUACUAUUGGGGCAACAGUCAAUCCCAAAAACUGAUCCAACAAGCCAAACCACUCUAGCAACAGAGCAUGAAAAGAACAUGCGUGGGAGUGGGACACAAGAGCGAUGAGUGGGGCAUGGGCGUGGGCGGCUUUAUUUUCUGGGGGGCGUUGGAGGUGGAGAGCGUAAGACAUGGGUCAGGAGGUACAACACUAAUUGCAAUUAGCGCCAAAUAUCUGAGGGCUUUAGGCCGUAGGAUCUGCCAUAUGGAUGGAUAGAAUGGAUUUGGAUCUCCAAACUUCGUGCUUUUAUAGGGGCAAUAGAUAGAUGGAUAAAUUAUGUAGGGGUGUUUUCAGAAGAAAAAAAUGGAAGGGGGGGGGGGGCAUGGCCCCAGCCUGCCCAGCCCUGGCUCUGUCACUGAGACUAAGUUCGAAGGACUAAAGUAAAGAUAGUUUGCAUCUAUCAGACUAGCCAGAGGCCAUCGGAUGGGAAGCAUGACAUAAUUAAGCCACAUGAUAGGCUAGAUGAACCUCGUCCUAAUUUGUUGUUGCUUCUUAACUGCUUCCGUAACUCACGCAUCUCUCUCUCUCUCUCUCUGUGUGUGUGUGUGUGUGUGUGUGUGUGUGUGUUUCUUACUCCUUAAACAAUGCUUCCUCGCUCUCUCCAAAUCAAGGAGAAUAGGGACGAGAUCGGUAGGAUGAAUUUGAAUGCUUUCCUAGUUUAUUUCUUCCGCAAAUCAGGGCUGUAAUCCUUCCCAAAAUCACAUGAGGCUAUUUGCUUCCUUAGGAAGCAGAUCUUGAUUUCAUUAUUACCUAAAAUUGCUUCCAUAAGUGUCAUGUGACUUUGCUUGCACAUCAAAGACGUUUCAUCCCAAUGUAGUGUUGCGGAAAUAAACUUGCUUCCAUUUACCCAUGGAUUUGCUUGCACCGUGAAUUAAUCUUGCUACAGUUAACAAAAUUUUGUUUUCUGCCUAAUGAAAAAAAAAUCAAUUGACUAGAGGAUUGCUCUAACCAAAUAAGAGUUCUUUCUAUACAAAAUAAACAUUAUCAUGACUACACAUAACACAUGCUUGCUCUACCCCUGGUGUGUUGCCCAACCGCCUGCUUGAGUGCACACAAAGUGUUUGAUAAAAUGCCAAAGAGAGAGGGGAUGAGAAAGAAGAAGAAGACCAAGUCAACUUGUCUGCGUGGCAUUUUUUUCUUCCAACUCAGCCCGACAAAUGGGCCCGCCGAUUACUGACGUCAUCAAAAUACUUGCAUUUUGAAUCAAUGUUUUUUGCCACUGUCAAAUUUUCGAUUCGGUACGAAGUGUCACAUUUUGCAAAGUGGUGGUUUUCCGAGAGGUAUGACGCUAAAAAGUGGUGGUUCUGUGCAUUUUACUCUGCUGGGAGAGAUCAGACCUACUCCCUCCGUUCCAAAAUAGAUGACUCAACUUUGUAAUAUAUUACUACAAAGUUGAGUCAUAUAUUUUGGAACGAAGGGAGUAACAAAUAAGAUUAGGUUAGCACAUGUCGCGCAAGCGUCAUGCAUUCAUACUUACUUUUUUUACUGAUGAUCUAACCAAGAAUAUGCAUCAACAAUACCAUUUGACUGUGUUGCACAUACCACAUGGAAGAAAAAUUAGGGAUGAAUCAAAUUCAUCCCAAACACACAACCUAAGUAUGCUUAUAUGCUGGAACUGGCAGAGAAGUCCUUACUCAUAAUCAAACUAAUUAUAUAAACAUUAUUUAUCUUGUACAAAAAGACUAGUGCAUUGUGCUCAUAUAGUGAUAUAGGCAAACACUGGUGGAAUUAGGCAAUACAAAUAUUUACAUACGGAAUUGAGAUAAACUUGAGCUAACAUGCAAAAGCAAAAUCCUAUUAGACAUCAAUCCUCUAAACGUUGGGAUUUUCAAAUAGCCCAUCAUAUGUAUUUUUUAAACUUAAUAGCCCAUUGUAUGUUCAAAACUUCACAUAAGGAAAUAGCAUAUUGUAUGAUCAAAUAGUAUGUUGAAUCCUCAAAGAUUUAAUCACUCAAGAGUAGUCAUGAGUUCGUGAAGAAGAAUACUAGUGAACCACAUAGAUAGUCUAAUAACAGACACACAACAAUGGCAAUUGUUCACACUGUGAAGCAGAAACAGAAUAUGUAUGUUGCAUAGUUAUUUUUACAGUCAACAUAACAUCUCCCGCUAUAGUACUUUUACCGAAAAGAGCUCAAUAAUUUUUGUUCAGAUAUUCCACUAGGUCAUGGCACAUGAAAAAUAUCUUGCAAUAUUAUUUGUGAACACACUGGGCUUGCCAAAAAUAUUUGAAUGAGAGGCAUUGGUCAAAUAAAAUCGCGACCAACUCCUGUAACCGCGCUCAAUCUCCUUGCAGACCUCAUAGUACCAAGGGAGAGACUACGUUGCCACUCAAACCUAAAGGACACAUGACUUUGAUGAAUCUUUGUCUGCCUUAUGGUCUAGUGGCCAGUUGUUGACCGUUCUGGUGGCUAUCAGUUUUUUUGCCAAUUUAUACAAGGGUCCAAAUCAAUGAUCAUUGUGCUAAAAUAAAACUUUAACCGUUGGUUUAUUAUGCCAGAUGCAAGAGAUGUUUGCGAGUGUAUCCAAGGAUUGUUGCCAAUCCAAUAUACCAGAAGAAGGCAAAUUGUUAUGCAGCUCACAUAUGGUUCGCCAAACUAGCAGGCCACAAGAACAUAAAUAAAUAGACCAUCAUUCAUGCUGGCAUCAGGAAUAUAUCUUGAGUUAUCAUAAGAUCAAACAGCAGAGAACAUCUGAUAUAACACUAAAACAUUGGAAAACAGUCACAAACUCAUGACAAAUUACGCUUUAGUGCUGAUAUAGAAAUAUACUAAAAUGGUCCGCACAUUUGACAAACAAGUCUAGCCAAAACUUCCACAGGUUCUCAGAAUACAUGAUCAGUUUCGGUUGCCAACAUAGCAUAGAUUCACCAUAAAAAGCUCAUGACAAUCACAAGAAACAAGCAUUACUGUCCCUAGAUCGAAAAAACCUGCAUUGAACAAAACAAAAAGAGAAGCAACGUUAGCAUAGCCAACACAAUGGAUGUGUCAAACAUGGCUAGAAAAACAAAAAGCAAAUCAUGUUCAUAAUUUGAGGCAACA